Molecule: ribosomal RNA, 506 nt
Filed under: uncultured bacterium
Lineage: Bacteria
Description: partial 16S ribosomal RNA
Rfam family: Bacterial small subunit ribosomal RNA
Source: RNAcentral
GAUGAACGCUAGCUACAGGCUUAACACAUGCAAGUCGAGGGGUAACAAGAGAAAAGCUUGCUUUUCUUGUUGACGACCGGCGCACGGGUGAGUAACGCGUAUCCAACCUGCCUAUAACUAGGGAAUAACCUUGCGAAAGUAAGACUAAUACCCUAUGAUUUCCUUUGAUGACAUCAGAUUAGGAAUAAAGAUUUAUCGGUUAUAGAUGGGGAUGCGUCUGAUUAGCUUGUUGGCGGGGUGACGGCCCACCAAGGCAACGGUCAGUAGGGGUUCUGAGAGGAAGGUCCCCCACAUUGGAACUGAGACACGGUCCAAACUCCUACGGGAGGCAGCAGUGAGGAAUAUUGGUCAAUGGGCGGAAGCCUGAACCAGCCAAGUAGCGUGCAGGAUGACGGCCCUAUGGGUUGUAAACUGCUUUUAUACAGGAAUAAAGUUAGCCACGUGUGGUUAUUUGUAGGUACUGUAUGAAUAAGGACCGGCUAAUUCCGUGCCAGCAGCCGCCGUAA